This 240-nucleotide unclassified non-coding RNA is filed under the name soil metagenome. RNAcentral's name for it is "partial contains 5.8S ribosomal RNA, internal transcribed spacer 2, and large subunit ribosomal RNA". The record is from RNAcentral.
AAGACUAUAGACCUGCGGAGUACCUGCGGAAGGAUCAUUACCAAUUUUUAUAUGUUAGUUUGUGCUCCCGUCAAAAGGAGUUACAUUACUACUACUGUAAAUGUUGAACUGGAUCGAUUGGUGUGGAUUGCUUGGGAAAGGAAGAAGCGACAAGCCUCUUCCGGACAGGCAAACCCCACACUGAUAACCCUUUUUCAUAUAUACUACUAAUACAUACUACAAACAAACAACAAAAGCUAU